Molecule: non-coding RNA, 38554 nt
Organism: Xyrichtys novacula (pearly razorfish)
Lineage: Eukaryota; Metazoa; Chordata; Actinopteri; Labriformes; Labridae
Source: the annotation of a GenBank genome assembly
GCCAUGGGAGUGAUGGCGGCUAACUGCUUAGCAGACGGAGAAAAUAAGGAGAAAAACCCGAAUUAAGCCGUGGAAAGAGGAAAAGAAAGCCAGCGCCCUUACCCGCUGGAAGUCUGGAGCCAAGUGACUUCACUAAGGAGAGGAGUCACGUCGGUAAGACGAGUUGUUUAUCUGGAGAAAAAAAAAAAGUUUAUUAGCACUUAACCUUUUGUCGUCCAUGCUAAUGCUAGCUCCCGAUCUAACAGGCUAACCACUUACCUCCACGAGGAGAGCCGCUGCAGCUCCGACAUCGGCGGGCUCGGCUUUGAAAUACAGAGCAACAGGUGAGAAACAUGUCGCUUAAGCUGCUCUGAUGCUAUAUCUGUUAUUUCUCAAAGUACUGAAAGAGAGCAGUGGUGAUAUAAAAGAAUAUGAGAGUGAACUAAAGUGAAUAAUGGAGCAAUAUUUUGAACGUGUGUGUAUUGUGUCUAUUGUUUUAUGUUGAGGUAUGAAUGUAAAAUGGAGGUUUUGUUCAUUUUCCCAGUGCCAAUUUAAAGGGAAAACAGUCAUUUGAUAAUUCAUAUGAUGAGUGUAAAAUAAAAUCUUAUUUUAUGAUGUGCAAACUACUGAAAGAAUUUAUCUUACUUAGAGAAAUUUUUUGGUGCAGUUUCUCUAGCAUUACACAGCCUUUAGUGUUGGAGUAAUUAAAGGGAUAAUCCGGUGUAAAAUUAUUUUAGGAUUAAACACACUGUAACACAGAGUUAGACACCCUGUCAAGAGAUGAAUGUUGCUGACUGCUUGCUUCUCUAAUACCAACUUUAGUAACAACUGCAUGAUAGCAAUACAAAGAGCCACACGCUUAACCUAAAAGCCACUCUAUAGCCACAAAUAAUGCUCAGAACAGCACCGAACUUCAUCAACAGUACAAAUAGAGUCCUAGCCAUAGCACUAGCCACCGAAUAUCUUUUUAAUUUUAAAUUUUAAAUUUUAAUUUCUUUAGCAAAGAGACUAAACAGAACUCACCUACUCUUUUCUAGCAGUUGCUGGUUUGUAGUGAGACCUCAGGCCAGACCAUUAUGGUCUGCUGCAGGGUGACGCAGCUUAGGGAAGAACAUUUAUGAUCAUUACUGUAUCAUUUCCUUUAAGUAAUAAUCAUCAUGUUAAUCAUUUUGCACUGCAGACACGGUAGUUCUUCUGCCUUCACAUCUCAGUCUGAUUGCAUUUUCAUGAAGAAGUGAUCAUAACUGCUCCUCAGACUGCUGUGUAUCGCUGUUCUGUGGUCAUUGCUUAAGUUGGUAUAAAUAGAGAAGCAAGCGGUCAAUAACAUUCAUCUCUUGAGGGAGUGUCUACCUUGGUGUUAUGGUGUGUUUGACCCUAAAUUAAUUUUACACCAGAAUAUCCCUUUAAGCAUGCUUCUUUGAUACCUCUAAGACAAGUUAAGUAUGUGUAUUUUCUAUGUAAUUUGCACAUUAUUUUGAUUUGGUUAUGUUAUAGAUGUUUUGAAUGUAAAUGGUUCCUUACUGUAAAUAUUAUUGAUGUACAGUUCACAUGAAAAGAUAAAUAUGUGAGCACUUAAACAUUUAGUUCUCAUAUUUGAUACACUUCAACAUUGAAUGUUGUACAACUAAUAACUGAAGCUUCAUAAUUUGGUAAUAUUAAUGAUCAACAUAUGAGGUUUGAUGCAACAUAUUGAUUUUUGACAUUUAAACCUUCAAUGAUGCAUCUGAGAAUAAAAUGUAAAUUAUAUGACCUUGUGUGUAGGUCAGGUUCUUUGUGGGGACGAGGAAAAUCCGAGGACCAGGACAAGGUUCCAGUUGUGACAGAUGGUGAGCUAACCACCUUGAGGAGGACUCAUCAUAAAGUAGAUACACACUCACACACAUACAUUCACACUACAUUCCAUGGACCUUUAAAAUCAGGUGCACCUGCAACGACUUUUAUUUUAUAAGGGCCCCAACAGACACUAUUAUUUUUAAGUGUGCAGACUGUAUCCUUUUAUUUCUGGUUAUUUGGGUCAUUCAUGUAUGUUUUGUACAAGUUUAACAUUUUCCUUAUUCACUGUAAAAUUACAAGAGUGGCUACUCAACAGUUAGUCUAGUACCUGACUUAUUGUUGCUGCUCAACACAUUGAUUCAUUACGAAUUGGGUGUCUUCUGAUUCAGGCCAGUGUCUAGUUAUUAAUCCAAGUUGUUAUUAUACUGUAAUUCAAUUUUAUAUCACUAAAAGUGGUUACACAUGCUGACCAAUGCAGACCCAAGUACUAACUGAAUUGAAGUUCACUUGUAUCCACGCCUGCCUGACCCAGGUAGACCAAAUGAGUCUCAAUUAGAUGCCUUGAAAGAGGGCUGAGUGCAGCCCAAGGACCCAUGGAAAAAUCUUAAGGUUGCACCUAUUCCUGGCCUAUGCAUAUUCCUGGGUUGCUCAACAUCUACCCCCCAAUAGCCCACUUUCAGUCUAUGCCCAGGUAGAGCCCCAUUUGAGUUGAUUAGAGUUUGAUGUCAGGAGAAAAAGACAUACAUCAGAUCUCAUGCACUUACAAACUUCUGUUGUGUUGUAAAAAAAGACUUUUUGAAGCGGUUGUACUUCUGAACUUGAACUGAAAUAUUUCUAUAGCUGUGUUCAGGUCCUAUAGCUGCCUCUGUUUCACAUUCAACUUGUCUCCAUUUAAUCUGCUCCCCUGAUAUGAAACUCCUGCCCUUUGUUCAAAAACAGCUCUCUACCCCAGUCAUCAAGCAGAAUGACAGGCUAUUUGAGGCUUCUAUUGUGCCCAGCUGGCUGUGCCACACAUUUACUCCGAGAGCUGAUAGCACUUUCCAUUUGCUAAUGAUUAGUUUGUGCCCCAGUAUGAGGGCUGUUUGUACCCACUCUGCUCUGGAGAAUCACAUUUUAUCAAGGAGGGAAGGGUCAUAAGAACGGCAGAGAGAGGCUCUAAGUAUCCUAUUGCCUAUUCAAUAGUUUUGUGUACUUCUAUCUAAGAGUCCCAUGCUUUGGAAUAGCUCUUGUGGCGGUAGCAUUGUGGCCCCUUUUCUGGCCCCCUUUGUCAGCCCUGAUUCACAGAGUUUGGUGAAUGUGAAUUACUCUACAGCUACAGCGGACAAGGUUGUUAUCUACAUGCCGAUUUUGAGAAGGUGCUGUUAUUCUGUGUGUAGAAAUUUUGGAAGGAAUUGUGGCUAAAGGGACACAGCGACUCCACCUCUACCUCAUGCCAGGUUGAUUGAAAAGUAGGUGUACUUUUCCAACAUAGCGACCACAAUUGAGAGGCUUCAAAGCUCUUCUUCAGAAACAAAUGGGUGACGUCAGAGAGACCCGUCUAAAUGAGAUGAAAGCAGUCAAACAUCAUUUCCAAGAUUGCAAGAUUGAUUUCUGUGAGUGUCCUCUUUGUCUGCUUCCAUCAAAUGACCCCAAUUUGUUGACUUUGUCAGAUCUGGUCUCUCAGAAGCCAGUAAACAAUAGGGUUUCCAUAUGUUUUUAUGGUAUUAUACUGCCAAAGACCCAGGGGUUUUGAUUUACCACCAGUGAGUUCAGAUGACUGCUUUCAGCCUAAAGGGGGGCAGGGCCACAGUGUAAGAGCAAAGUACCCGGAUUGAUUUAAAGAAAAUUAAAUUCUUUUGAUUAGCUAGCACAUCAAGUCUGUUAAAGGGAUAUUCCAGGGUAAAAUUAAUUUAGGGUCAAACACAUCGUAACGCCGAGUUAGACAGCCCGUCGAGAGAUGAAUGUUGCUGACCGCUUGCUUCUCUAGUUAUACUAACUUUAGUAACGACCCAUGAUAGCGACACACAGGGGUCUCAGGAGCCACAUACGAACCUAAACCAAAACGCCACUCUAUAGCCACAAAUAAUGCUCAGAACAGCAGCUAACUUCAACAACAGUACAUAUAGGGUCCCAGCCACAGCACUAGCAAUCAAACAUCUUUUUAACUUUGCCUGAUUUCCUUAGCAAAAAGACUCAACACAACCCACCUACUCUCAUCCAGCAGCCAUUUGUUUGUUUAACAGCGCAAGGAAGAACAUUUACGAUCAUUUCUUCAUGGAAAUGCAAUCAGACCGAGACGCUAAGACAAAAGAACUACCGCGUCUGCAGAGCAAAAUGAUCAAUAUGGUGAUUAUUACUUCAAGGAAAUGAUAGUGAUGAUCAUAAAUAUUCUUCCAUGAGCUGUGCCCCCCCGCCUCAGUCGACGAUGGACUGGUCAUGGUCUCGCCACAAUCAAGCGGCUGCUGGAAAAGAGUAGGUGAGUUGUGUUAAGUCUCUUUGAAGAUCUGCAGUUUCUUUUUGAUGAGAAACAUCUCCAACAACUCUGAGGGUUAAAAAAUCUUCGAUCUCUUGCAGAGUUGAGGACUGCAAUCAGUUGAUGAAAAAUCAUGUUUCAGUUGAUCUCCAUUGUUUUGUGAUUGGUUAUUUGCUUGUUUUCAUGGACUUGUAAGCCUGCCAGCAUUGGGAAUCUGGGAAAGCUCAAUGUCUGUUCAAAAAUGAAUGAUUUUAGUUUUUGGCUAACUGUGUUGGCACAAACCAAUUAAAGAGGAAUGUCUGUCAAUAUUUCUCAAACGCUCUCUGAUAGGUGUUUACAUGAGUGAUGUGGUUUUGGCGAGGACGAGGAUAUUUCAUCCUCACAGCUUUCCCGUCUCUAACCUAUUACCUGUUGUAGUUUUCCAUCAACAUGAAGGGAAGCAUCUUUAAUAGAGUGGCCUUAACACAUCCCUGCUGAUAGAGAGUAUACAGGAAAUAGAACCAACGUCUGAAUGUCUGCAAUCCAGCUCGAACUUGAGCUCUGAUUUCCUCCGUGUGAUCUGCUGUCAGCGGUCACCGAGCGGCAUUGUGAGCGAGUGAAUGGGUGGACGGGUGCCGGUGGUCGCAGGUAGAUAGAGGACGGAGUCAAGCCAGAUAGGGAGGAAGGAAAGGCUGGAUGGAUACGUGGGGGAGAUACCGAGAAGGAAGGAGGUGGUGGUGGAAAGACAGAUAGUGUCACGUCUACUAUUCAGGCCCGUUUGAUGAGAUGCCUCAAACGGCUGAAAAGAGGAAAAGACGGGGAGAGUUAAAGAGUGAAAGACCCUUUUCAUCAUGGUGACUCGUGCAGCAGAACCUUCCCGUCACCCUCCCCAUCAUCCUUCCCUUCUUGUUGCUCUACCCUUCCCCCCCUGCACGGAUAGAUAAAACACAUUCAAUCAGAGGGAAACGUGUGAAGAGGGGAUAAAUAAAGGAGAGGAUUUCAAUCACACUGGCGUUCUUCUCUCUUCAAAGACAGGGAUCAGAUGGGGGGUUGGUGGGAAAAGUGUGCCACUGGGUUGAUGAACACCAGGGCUCUCAAGCCAUAGGAAGUACUUUUAAAGCUUAAAACUAUGAUAUAUGUAUUACAAAAAAAACAUGAUGAAAAAAGGGGACACGAGAGAGGGGAUUUUAAAUUUACAGAAUUUAAAGUUUUGCACCAAGAGGCGAAGAAAAUAUAAACUCAGAGACCAUGUGGAUAACCGCCACACAAGAGGAAGGGACCAGGCAGGGGGUGAUUGUCCCCACCCUGGUGCUUUCAUGAGCUUGAAUGGAUUCUGCUGUGCAUCCACCUUGAGAUUACAAAUUGAUCUUCAGAUGUGGAUCUGGCAUACAGGAGAAACCCCUUCAAGAUUUUUGGCCCCUGCUCCUCCAACAGCCUGAGUACGGCACUGCCUCACACUUUUAAGACUCAGGAUUUCCAGCCGAACUGUACCUAUCCAGAGCGUAAAACCAGCGAAGGUUGGCAGCAGGGGUAAUAGCCUGUUGUGGUUUUGAUUGCAGCGCAGCGUAUGUGUUAGCGCUGUGGUUAGCAGUCAGAUUGAAUGCUUUAGCAGCCUGUUAUUCACUCAGCAAGUUGGCCCAUGCGUAGGCAGCAGUUGCGGUUUGGAAGGAAACUCUGUGGUCAUACGGAAAGGGGAGGACACGCUGAUUUGAGUGGCAGUGAUGAUGAGUUUUCAUGAAGUACAAGCAAACUGUGGCCUGUUUUAUGUCCUUUUUUAUGACAUUUGGAUGUGUUAGUGUGUGUGUUAGUGUUUAUGGGCAAAAGCCAGUACAGAAUAGCGCCAGGUAAACACGGUAAAGGCAAAUUUGAAUGGAUCUGAAUCUCUGCGGCUCAGUAUCUAUCAAUCAAAACAUGAGCGCAUGCACAAAACAUGAAUGCACACUAAGGCUCUCAGUCUGAAUAAAUACAUAAUGAACAGGCUGCUAUACACUGCCAUGCCAGUGAAGUUGAAGGGUUUAUGCACACCAAGAAACACACAGUUUUAUUGAGCAGAGACACAAUAAGAAAUUGCAUAUUAAGCUGCAGCUUGAAAUACUGCCACAGCAGAGCGCAGAGCUGCUUUUACCACCCUGUAAUAAUGAUUUCAUAAACUUUUACAAUAAAAUGCUUUCUUUAACAACCCAAUAAGUGAUUUGGCCUUGACGCUUUGUGGGGAAGGAACUCAGGGAGCUUCUACCUAAAUUAUUUCGCAAUUUUCUUCUUUUUCUGUCCAUUGUUUCUCAAAAUGCAAGAGGCAGAGAAAUGUAGAGACUCUGUUAGUCAGAACAAAUGUCUUCACCAAGCUGUAUUUUAACUGCUUUGUUAGGAGUGUUUUUGGUUUUAUUUCAGUACACUCAAAGUCAUUGGUUAGUGGCAAUGCACAGUGUUGGGCACCUUACUGAAAAUAAGUACCAUCAAUCCUCAAAUAAAGAGUGGUAUUUUAUCUGUAGCCAGAGCCCUUACAAUUACCAGGACAUGGGCUUUAUGAGGGACUAAGGGCCAAUCCCAAUUGUCACUCUUUACCUUUCCCUUUCAUCUUACCCCUUUGUCUACCUCUUGUUUUGAGGGCCAAGGUAAAGAGGUGAAAACGCCCUAAGAAAUGAGACACCACUCAAUUCCUGCUAUGUCAUCAUGCUUUGUUAUUUGCUGGCUGUGUCGUAGGCUGCUGACACAAUACCGGUAAACAAGUCAGAAAACAGCGCCUACUGUUGUAAUGUUUAGCCAUUGUUGGCAAUAGCACUUAAAAACAAUGCAUAACAUGGUAUUUUACUCAUACAAGAGCAAACUUAGACGCUCUUGAUGUAGCUUCUACAUUAGAGGUUAUUAAUGUACUGAAUGUAGCUUAGCUGUCUGAUCAGUUUGUCAAUCAUUCAUGAAAUGUAGUACAUCGCAGUAAAGUCCGUCUGCAGUAAAUUUGUCACCCGAGUAAUCUUAAUAGCGAGGUGAUUGGUAACUUUUCAUUACAGCUGCAGGCUUUCAUGCGACUUACUUAAUAGUUUAUCUGGCGGGUCAUUACUUUCUUGCAACUAGUUAUUUUGUGUAACUUGGUAACACGGUACUCAAAACACUUGUGAUGGACAAUGAUUUAUUUUACUCUAUCAAAGAAGUUCUUUUGCUUUUUGAGAUUGAGGUCUGUUGAUUCAGGAUUGUUGUUAAAUUACCAACAUUAGAGUAGCGCUGUCGACUCCACCACCUGUGCAGUAGCAUUGUACGCAUUCGACGGGAGAAUCGCCAAGAGUCAGCGUACCUGCAUCAAACAGUCUUAUUAGGUGCCCAGAGCAUCUUCACUGGGACUCAUGACGAUGAUAACCACACCCUCCUUGCCAUCUUACGGAGGAAUCCAAUCCAUGACCAGACUUUCUUUUCACCUUAAAGUUCCAAAGGAAACCCGCAAACUCCAGUCUGCUAUCCUGUCCCUGAUUGAAAAACAGGUCUCACAAACUUUCUCUGUUUUUGAGCUUUCAAUCCAAGAGUUCUGCUAUCUUUAAAACCGGUUCCAUAACUUGCUGACCGGUCCAGAUGGAUGCUGCUCAGCGAAUUUCACACUCAGAUUUCUGCUCUCUUUAAGAAUGGCGCCCUGAACCAGAAAAAAAAGAAAAAAAUGGCAACACUAUUUCACAUUUUGGACAAAGCACAAAUCGAUGUGUACAGCAUGUAGAACAUUCAAAGCCCAGGAUGUUCCAAAUUUUGCGCUAUCCCACAGAAAUAUAGAAUCGCCAGAAUAGAUGCAGCCAUCCGGGCGCUCGGGGAGGCUAGCGGAGGUGGAAGUUUGAUGUUUAAAAAAAGGUGGGAACAGAAAACUAGCGGGGAGUGGAGUUGAGAGGAAAGAAAAGGUGGUAAAAGCUCCGCGGCUGAGAGAAAGAAAACGCUGGCAAUCUGCGAGAAAGAAAGAUAGGGUUAGGAGAUAUGUUUAAAAGGGUGCGUGGAAGAUGGAUAAGGGGAGGAGUGGAAUGAGAGAGAGGGCGAGAGAUAAUGAGAGGGAGAAGGAGAGAGCGAGGGGAAUGAGGAGAUAGAGACGAUUUCCUAUUCCGUCAGACGCACUGUGGCUCAUUCAUUAUAUUCCCCAGGCAAUUACCCAGGCCACCUGCUUUGUCUCUCCCCUCAUUGUUUCCAUCUCUCUCUGUCUGUAUCUUUCUCUCCGUCUUUCGCUCGAUCUCUGUCUGUCAUUCUCUCUAUCGCUCCUUCACCACUCCUGUGUGAUCCUUGCUGGUUUGCCAAUCCCCCCACCACCACAGCCACCUCCACCACCACCCUGCUCGCCUCAUUUUUCGGUUUCUCUCCUUGCAUUGUCUCUAUCCUCUUGCCGUUUUUUUAUGUGUGUGUCUGCUUGUUUAAUGUGAAAACACUGACAGAUUGGUGUGUGUGUGUGUGUGUGUGUGUGUGUGUGCGUGUGCGUGUGUGUGUGUGUGUGAUGUUGGGCCAGUCCUAAUGAGCUCAGCCUUGCAUUUAGCAGGGUGCCAGGUCUCGGCUAGCUGCUGCUUUUACUCGUCUCAAAUGCUCAAAUUUGCAAGAAGACUCCAUGGAUUUAACCUCAGACCUGCAAAUUUCAACCACAUUUUAUGUUUUUUUUCUUCUUGUUUUUUUUGUCUUCUUUCCAAAACAAAAAAAAAAUCCCUCAAAAAUGCCGUCAGUGUGAGAAAAAUGCUUUCUCUCCCAUUGUCUCAAAGCUGUAUCAUCUCCAUCUCCUCAAGGUUUCAGUCUUAAACUUUGUGAAUUCUUCUUUAUUUUUCUCUCUCUUGAUCAAAGAUGGAAGGUUUGCAUGUUUGCAUCAGUACAUUGACAACAAUCCUCCAUCAGCAUCAUCAUUUAGUCCACUUAAGUCACUGCUGUAAUUUAACUCUCAACUUCAUCCUCUGCAAAUUACUCCAAAUCACGACCACUUUCUUUCUUCUCAUGCCAGAGUUGCGUUUUUGUAAUCAACUAAAUGAGAGUUUAUUUUUAACAAAUGUGUAAAGCGUUCACUUUCAAAGUCUGUCAUGUUUUUCUUCUGUUUCCGUUCCUGGUAAUUAAAGCUUAAUUAGGCGCAGUAACUGUGUUACAGAUUUGGAAACAUAAUAAUGUUGCCUAGAACGCCAUUGGUAAAGCUGCUGUGUAAAGGCUGAACCGCUUUGGAUCCCUCUGCCACCCCUGUCUAAAAAUAUGUAAAUAAUGGGUCGAGUUAGUCUUUUUUUUCUAAUUCCUAACACAUUUAAUUAACCUAUUUGCAAAAUCGGAAAUAAUUAAACACAACUAAAACAGGGAAAAAUACAUAUUAAAAUUUGUUUUUUGACCACGGUUCAGAGCUUGUUAAGGCCUUUGAACUCUUUACCAGAACAGCUCAUCACUCUCUGGACUGGAGAAAUAAUAAGAAUAACUAAAUGAAUGCUUUUCAAACCAGUCAAAGGAUGUUAUUCUUGGACGGGACUAUGAUAACAUGAUGAUGUACACAGUGUGUUGACAACUACAAAGCAGAGAUGUAAAUAGGAAAACAAUACAGCUACAGUAAGGUAUGGACUUGUAUUAAUAAGGGCAUGACAGCAGUUCAAAUCCAUAUCAGAAUAAGACCACAGCACAGUGUGAACGAUGAGGUCCUUUACAUGAUAUUUUCUCUACACUCUACACUUACAUGACAGGUCAAAAAAUAAGUGACAGGAUGUGACAAAACAAGAUACAACAUGUUACGGCACAGCAUGAUACAGUAUGGUCCGAUAUCCUAUAAAUAGAUGAAAUAGGAUAGGAUGAUAUGAGACAGAAAUGAUAUGUGACAAUGUGGUACGAUGCAAAACCAAAUGUUACAAGACAAUAUGAUAUAAUAGUUUACGAUAUGAUUUGUUACAAAACAAUAUAAAAUAUGAUAGUAACUGUAUGUUAUGAUAUGUUACUAUAAGAUUCAUUAUUAUACAGUAAGUUAUGAUGCAAUACAAACACUAAGUUGCGUAACGUUACGCUAUCUUACGUUACGCAACGUUACAUCACGAUACGAUGCAAAGGAAUUUAAUAUGAUCAAUACAAUAUGAUAAGAUACAGUAGGGUGUGAAACAUUAUAUGAUUCACCAUAUGAUAUUCUUCAAUAUAAUACAAUAAUAUUGGAAAUUAUACAUAGUACAGCAAGAAAGGAUAAGAUUAGAUAUAAGAGGAUUUUGUGUAAUAUUUUAUACAAUCUGAAACAAUCCAAUACAAUAUAACAUGAUGUGUGAUAUGAUACAAACUAAUGCGAUACAUCACAGUACAACAAAAUACAAUAAGAAACCAAUAGUUAUGAUGGGAUAAAGUAUAAGUAGAUAUAGAUAUGCUUUGAUUAGAUAUGUCAUGAUACAAUACCUCACCACACAAUACGAAACAAUACAAUAUGAUAUGAUUCAAUACAAUAUGAUAUAAUACGAUUCAAUACAAUACGAAACGAUACGAUAUCAUGCAGUACGAUAUGAUACAAUAUAAUACAAUAUGAUAUAAUACGAUACAAUAUGAAACAAUACGAUAUGAUACGGUAUCGUGAUACGAUACAACAGGAAACCCAAAUUCACAAAUCUGGUUUAUAAUCUAUGAUGCACAUUUUUUUUUUUUUACUUAUUCACUUUAUUUGCAGAUAUUGGUUCGAUUAAUUCAACUUAGGCUUCUUACCCUCUGGACAAAUUGAGAUAUCUUCCACGCUUCAUUCCAGCUCAUCCUGCAGGGUUCAUGCCGUUGCUGUGGUUUUGGGUGUGAUGAAGGGGGCUGUCACAAAAAAGGUCAGAUGUCAAGUCCCAGCUGCCCGCAGCCCAGCAGGGGUCCACGGCUGGAACGGGUGGGUUUGGCGAUGGGACAGCCGAGGUGUCAUUAGGACACAGUGGGCUCUAACAUUAGACCUCAUUACUGCUCUCUGAUGGAUCGGCCCAAAUUACAUCCUGGCAAACGGACGCAUCUGCCGGCGAGGACAAUAACAACUGGAGAUCUUUCUCUCUGCUUCCAUUCACCCUUACACUGCCUCUUUGCACUGUGUGUUGUUCAAAAUGAAGCCAUUUAAAGUCAUUAUAGAGUAAAUAAUGUGUUGACAAAAUGGGCUUGAAUAAUUGUGGCUCCUUUACCAGGCAAACAUUAUUAAAAUGAAGACUAUCGUUUUCAAUUCUCAGUUUUUAACACAGCAACAUCUCUCAUGCGUUUCCCUCACUCCCCUUUGUACAGUAUAGGAUGAAUGUCUUUUAUCUGUUUUACAGUAGGAAGAUACACUGCUGACAUUAAACAUGCUACAUGCAGGAGCUCUUCAUGAAUAUUUCACUGUGAAAUUAGGUGUGAUGCCUCAUUCUAAUGCUAGCUUAUAAAUAAAUGCAUUUAAGCCAUUGAAACCAGUGAGCGACAAUUGGUUUCCCACGACGAUUUUCUCUAUUUCUAUUUAACUUUAGAGGUUCAUUGUCCUGUAAAACCCUCCGGAUACAGGAAUCCAGGUUACUAAACGAUGCUACAGCAACACCCAGCAUGUUCCUGUCAUAGAUCCCUUCUUUUAGACCCUCUAAUUAAACCCAAUCAAUUUCAUUAUACUCUAAAUAAAGAAAGCUCUACACUACCUAUAAACGCCACAAAUGCUGGUUUCUUCCCUUUUUUUUUCCCUCUCACAAUUUGAUCCGUUCAUCCGUAAAUACACAUUUUAACACUUACAAGCACGCCUGCGGCAAGCUGCAAACGCCCACACACAGCCCAGAUUUCAUAGAUGGGCAGGAAUAAUUCAUUCUUCACAUGUUCAAUUGGACUCUGGCUGAAUGUGUAUAUUGUUCAUGGCGUGUGUGUUUGCAAAGCCUCACUGUGCUCCAUAUCAGGGACAUAAUGGAUCCUUCCCAUUCCCCAGCAGUGACCUCUGCCUUUCCAUGUUAUCCUACAGUGUGCUGCCUAUUGUUUUGACCCCCAGCAAAUGGUGGACUUAGAGGGAUCAGGCCCUACAUCACAGGCUUGGCAGGGAUGUGGGAGGUGCUGGUAGUAGUAGUAGGGCUUAAAAACACAAUCUAAGGGUUAGGCUAUUGCCUGGUAAAAGACUGAACAUGGUCUUUUUAUCUGAUACAAAAAAACAACAACCAACCCGACCCUUUAUCUGUGUCAUUAUCAACCUUUAUUGACAGACUCUGCUGUACUAUGCAUUAUGGCGAAUCACAUAACAAAUCACUGGCCUAAAAUGCUGAUCACAUGGUAUGUCUAACCUUUGGCAAAGCCUCCUACCUCCCCUGCCAGAGCAAUCGCACCAAUGAGCAGCUACUGCCAUAAUGCUGUAAUACUUUUCUACCUGAGUGUAAACAGAUGAUACCUGGCACUUUACCUGGUGAAGUUUUGCCAUGUUUUCAUAUAGAAAAUAAAGACAAAUAUUCAGACUGAUUAUAGUUAACUCUUCCUACAUCGUUACCUCAUGGAUAAACAUACUUGAACAUGCAAUUAUCAAUGCAUGCUAAAUAUAUGUUCAAUACAAAUGCAUGGUUUAUGCUUUUCUUUGAAGUCAAUUCGGAAACACUGUACUUGACGUCUAUGUCUAUAUCACAUUAUGAAUAUAUUUAUAAUGCGAUAUAGAAUCACAUUAUAACACUGUAUAACUAUAGUUAUAAACACUCAAAAAUGAUUAUUGCUAUAAAGCAUUAUAAUCAUAACAUAUUAUAAAGCAUUUUAGCGUGUUAUGCUUAUUGUUAUAAAGCCUAAUGAUAAUUAAUGAGUGUUUAUGAUGAUCGUUAUACAAGUUUAUAAGCAAAUUAUAACACAUCAUAAAUAUAUGUAUAAUGUAUUAUCUAUGCGGGCAUUGUCAGUGAGUUGUUAAAAGUUAUAACACAUUAUAAUACCUGACCUUGUAAGUCAUGAUAAAAUGCUUUAUAAUGAGUUAUGAUUACUGCUAUAAAGCAUUAUGAUCAUUCAUGAGUGUUUUAACGUGAUAAUAACACAUUAUACAUAUAUUUAUAAUGCGUUAUAGAGGUAGGCGUCAAGUAAAGUUUUACCGUAAAAUCUAUUUUUGUGUAUUUCCUUUUAAUUUGUAUUCUUGUAUGACUUUAUGUCAGCAGUGGCUGUAAGAACAGCAGCACCUAUUUGUCUCUUUUAAAUCCCAGUGGUAGCAUGUAUGACGACAAGAAGCUUACCGCUGUUUCAGCCCCAUCAUAGAAAGUUCCUCCUUUCCCGAAAGCCUUUAUUCUGAGAAGAAAAUGAAGUGAAAACAACAUGUUACCUGCCUCCCUCUGCCCUCGUUUGUAGACAAAUCCCCCACUGCUUGUAACAAAAGAACCGCUCCCCCAGCGUGCUCAUGAUGGACACUCUAUUUUGAAGCUAAUAAAUUGUUUUCCCACCCCCGGUCCCCCCAGUGGUGGUCGCUGCUGCUGCUGCCACCACUCUCUGUCUUUCCGCUCGGCAGCGCUGGACUCGCUCCACGAACAGUCAUGCAUGUGACUGAAACCAGACAUGCUGGCUGUCCUCCAUGUGUAGUGGUUUGUUGUAUACGUCUUCAGCCCAGUGGGGAGUUACAGUGAAGUUUCUGUUUUUUCUUUAAUGAUCACUGAGGGAACAUACUUCGACCACCAUACAGGAAAUAACAAGAGUGCAACACAAAUGCAUUCACAUGGUAACACACUACAGUUAAUUUUGAACCACCUUUGAGGAACAGCUUUAUUCUCAAAAAACAACUUGAUACUCGUAAAAUGGCGACUUUAUUCUCAUGACAUAACUUCAUUCUCAUAAUAUUGCAACGUCACUCUUGUGACAGUGCAAUUUUAUUCUUCUAAAACUGUGACUUAUUGUUGGAAAACAAUGCUUUUCUCUGUUACAUCAGGACUUUAUUCUGAUUAAAUAAUAACCAUGUUUUAGUUACACCGCAACUUUAUUCUGGUGAAAUUGAGACUUCUACUCGCAGCAUUACACCUUUUUCCUUUUGACCUUAAGACUAAUUUUUUUUCUUUCUUCAUGUAGACCUACCACUUCGCCAUCAUUUCGAAAGCAAAACAUGACAAGAUAUUUUUGUUUUUAUUUUUAUUCAAGCAACAUUUCGCUGUUGCAAUUCACAUGCACCUGCAGAACUGACAGUACAGGGAUACAUCCAUCUUGAAGUGUACUUCCACUUGCUACAAAUUUCAAGAGAGGACGCUUUUCUCCAGGAACAAUCAUGCACAAAAAUUACAAGUCGACCUAUUUAGUUCAAUUGUUACAAAAUGCCUAAAAAGCCAUGUUGUCUUUUUUCUUUUUCUCAGUGUAGGUCUAUUAAAUAGUACAAGGUGACAUCACUGCAGGGCCUCAAAUGUUUGUAACCAUCCCAGCCCUCAUUGGUUGGAAAUGUACAGAAAAAGCCACGGGCUCUGGGUUACAGCUGUAGAUAUGGACCACCAGAGGGCCCAGGCUUUAAUCCAUCAAGGCCACCGAAUGACCGCAGGCUGAUUGGAACAAUGAGUGUAACACUGUUUCACAAACCCAGUUUAAUGGGCCACGUUGGUGAAAAUGUGUUAUUUUAUAUAAGCAGACACUGUUUUUUUAUGGGCAGAAUGUUAAACCAGAUCUUAAAGUCCUCCUUUGCCGGGCGGUGGAUAGAGGUGGGACGUUCACCAAAAUAAAACGAAAUAAAAAGAUAUGCACCCUGCUCCUCCUUCCACACUUAACACCCCACACCCCCAGCCUGACUCUCACCGACUGCACCACACAUGCCAUGGGAACCUGUUACCAUGGUUACAGCUGGCAACAGCUUCGCUAGGGCCCUGGCAACCCACCACCACCACCACUGCCGUCAGUUCUCUCAGUUUCCCUCCUUCGCUUCAUCUUUUCUCUUCCCUCCCUUCCCUCUGAAGCCCCUCCCCUUCCCCCUCACCCCCUAACCCCCUCCGCCGGUUUCCCUCGGCUCCCCCUCAGCCCCUCUGAGGUGUUUCACUGUGGUGUAGAUUUCAGGAGCUGUUUUCCCCUCAGUCUCAUUGGACUCAUUAGUGUCCUUUACCGAGGCUCCGUCUGUGCUGAGCGUGCAGCAGAGCGCACAUGCAGGCCUGUGUGUCUUCCUGAGAGUGUGUGUGUGUGUGUGUGUGUGUGUGAAUGGUUUUGGAAACCGUAAGUGUGUAUGGGGGUGCAGGCCGGUGCACGCUGCUGUGUUUUUGUGCAUUCCUCACGCAGGGGCCCGAGCAGCCCCAUAAUUAUGGGAGCUCGAAGCUGAUGCUGCCUGUUUGAUUACAGUGAUCAAGGGCCAUGUUAUGGAGCCUCAAAGUGCCAUCACCUCGUGUCAGCAUGUGUGUGUGUAUGUGUGUUCAGGAGAAGCUAAAGAGCUUUGUUAGGGAUUUACAUUUACAGGAACAAGAAUAACCCACUUAUCUGUCAAUAAAAAGAGGUGUGGAAAUGUUCCUGUUCCUAUUUCGUUAAGUAGCGGUGUUAGCAUCCUUUCCUAGCGCCUCCAGGUGAAGGUCUUAGUGAGUGGAUGUGUGCAUGUGCAGAGCCUUGUGUGGCUGCAUGCGCUUUCUUGUGAGCUGUACAGUGUAGGAAAACAGAGCAAAGUUAAAUAUUUAUAUCAGAAGUUCACAUUAAGAGGAGCAAAGUAAACCAGUGGGAACUGAGACCCCUCUCCGUGUGAAUUAUGAGCAUGUUAGUGCUGCCUCGGCUAACUUUUAGGUUUGAUUAAACUCAGUGUAACUCAUCACCUUUGGCUAAGCUAGUCACUGUGAGUUUCUGAUUUAUACACCAGGCUCAGGAAGGUGUCCUAGUGCAAUGAGAGACAAGCAGAGUCUGUUUAGCGUUAGUUAUCUGUAAGGGUAGACAUUGAUUGGCAGUCAUUUAUAAAUGAUGGUGCAUAAUGUAGUACAUCCUCUCCGAUGGCAGAGGCUGGUUCAAUAAAACAUGAGGCCUCCAGCCAGGAGAUGAAAUAUUAAAAGGAGGCAGUGAGGAUAUAGGAGCUGCAUCUCCCCAGAGGUCGGUUGUGGAUGUGUGUGUCUGUGGGCAUUUGUAAGACACUUGUCCUGACUUAAACCACAACUGUUAUCAGAUGUCAGGACAGCCGGCCAGAGCUCUGUACUACCAGAGAAGUGCAUUAGACUGAAAGCUGGUUCGAUGAAAACCUGUAUUCACAGCUGGAGAGAACAGGUAUCAUAUCGGUGAUCAUUCAUUUUCUCCAUUCACUCCGACCAGCUUCAGGUUAUGUCCAUUUUCUGAGAAACAACAUUUGGUAAUUCUUUCAAACAAAACAGUUAAACCAUGUAAUUGUCUUAAAAGGCCUUAAAAUCGAAGACUGAAUGAUGCAUAGACAUAGACUCGAUGACGUUACCCAUUUCUGAAGUAAAGUUUUGAAGCCUUUUCUUGGCAGUCACCGUGACUCAACCUAACCUUGGGUCAAUCAACUUUAAGACAGAGAGGCAAAGUUAAGGCUGGCCUUCAGCCUCUUUGCCAAUAUUUACAGAGUCAAGCAUCCUUGCCUCUAUUUUGCCAAUAUCAUAACCUUGAUAUGUUCAAAACAAAGUGCCGCCCUCUUUGGGAAAGCCCUGAGAUAUUCAGACCAAAACAUUUUUUGGAGCAGGUUUAAACAUGUUUAAUUUGCUCUAAAAACUGAAAAACUGACUUUUUAAAGAUUAUUGUGUGCUGGCGCUUCUGCAGCCUCCAGUGGACACUUGAAGAACUGCAGUUUUUAGCACUUUUGCAUUGGCAUCAUUUUUCAAGGCUGGUGGUCGCCACUUGGUUCCUAUCCACUGUAACCACCUGCACACCGUACAUACUUAAAACAAAACAUAUAAAAAGUUGAUAUAAAACACUGAUGUAAUCGUAGUCUUAAUAAUCUGAUCUACACUUUGAUAAAUUCAGACGAUAUUACAAUGGUGGCUGUUCAAACUGCAUCACAUGAUCCAGGAAUGUUGGCUAACCCAAACCUCAACGUGUUUUUCAGCUAUUCUAAUUAGCUGAAGGGGAUUUUGACCAACCAGAAUCAAGUAUACACAAGUGGGUAAUAAUUCUAGUUAAGUAUGGUCUGUAUAAAUAGUAAAAGCUGAGUGUAAUUUGUAAUCCAUGCUUGUACCAAUACUUAAGUGUUGGUUCCCAUUAGAAGAUACUCAAAGUCUGUAGGGCUGUAACUGCUCAGCUUUUAUCAGUGAUCUGAGAAUCUAUAUUUCUCAUAAAAAGGAUCAUUGGAAGAAUGAGUGAAGCAGUAUGUCUUUACAGCUGACUUGAGUCCAAAAACCCCCCCUGGAGCGAGAACUGGUGCAGUAUAAGUUACCAUGGCAGUAUUCCUGCUGAAAGAGAGCCAGCUUUGAGACACUGAUCACUCUGACUUGAGGCUCAACAUCCCUCACUGACUGAUCAAUCUUACUAUUUCUUCUCCCCUUAGGAACGGGGAAAGAAAAGUUAGUGAGUGGUUAAGCAAGCUGGAAUGUAUGCUGAUGCACUGUGCGCAAAAAGUGGGGGGGGAAGGCGUAUAAGGCCUGACGCUGAAAAUGUUACUGAUGCAGACACUAAAUAUGAAUGAGUAUCUGGUUGAGAUGAUGCGUCUUUUUCUUCGCUAUCUUGUCAGGGAUGCCUCCUAAAUGGCUGCAGAUAGCACAAACCUGAGACAUAUCAGAGCUUUAUCAAAUCGCUCUCCAUUUCUUUUAUUGCUGCAACAACAAAUUCAGAUCCCAAAGAAGAAAAAGCGAAAUGCAAAACGAGGGAACUCAUUUGCAGACGGUCGUGUGGUGUUGCCCGCUGGGUUUGGUGAAUGGCGAGAGAAGGGUGGAGAAUGGUCGACGUUGUUCAGGGAGCUUCUCCGCAUUCCUCUGCUUGUCAGAUGCGAUACCUCUCUGCCUCUAAUAGGGGCACAGGAGAGGACAGGCAGCAUCUGCUGUCAAAACCAAAUUAUCUUCUGUCAACAAAGCAAGAGUGAGAACAGGAGCCUCAGCCAGGCCCGUGCUUGCAAAUGCACAUGCACACAAAGACAUGUAUUUUAAAGUUCCAGCAUUAUGGGUCACUUUGAGGAAGGCCUGUCAGGACUUUUGUGCUCCAAUGACUGCUAAAACACAAACAUGUUAAGGUCAAAUGUGAUAUGAAACACCUAUACAACAGACACAUCAGCGCAGUAAUCUAUUUGGCUGUUUCAUAGGGUAUAUAAGUACACAUACAACAUAUGCACUCACACUUUGUCAUCCCCCUCAUGCCAUUCAGUUUGUUUUCACAGAUCCGUUGUUCGUGUCUCUCCGUAAGUGCAUGUGUCACUUCAUUCGUGGGCUGCAUCUAUUUUUCAUGGAGGUAAAUUGCAUGGCGCAGUUGUGCGCUGAACUCUGGCUCUGUAAUCCACAGAGAUGACCUCUAAUAACGCAGCUCUGCACCCUGCCAACACAUCAACAGCUCUGAACCUCAACACCAACACUGCCUCAAUCAUUCCACAUAUCUCCAGACUUUUACUCUAAAUGCUGUUUGCUUUUGCCUUUCCUAUUGGUUUUAUAUGGUUUCUUCUUGUGUUUUCCAUCUUUUUCCUUUUUGGUUUAUUUUUUUUUCCUCUUUUCAUUUUCUUUUUUCAUUUGUCAAGCUUCCUUUUCCCUCCUUCCCUCUCCCGUUCUUUGAUUUUCAUUACCUCCUCUUCCCCCGUUUUUGCCUUUCCAAAACCUUUUCUUUUUUUGCUUUUCUGCACUUUGCCCUUUCAUUUCCAACCACCUCCUUUUUAUUUUGUUUUUCCUCAUCCAGUUUUUGGCUUUGCUCUGUAUAUGUUCACUGCUUUCUUUCCAUUUCCCCUCUGUUACCCAAGAACUACAAAAAUCAUCUUAAAUCCACCCACUGAUCUCAACAGGAUGUCCAGAAAUUAGAGUUAAAUGUCUUAUUUGAGCUGUUUACAUGGUGCGUAAUUGAUCAAACUUUGGCUUUCAUCCAGUCCACUCCUCUGAGGGUCAGUGUCAUCUCAUUGACAAUUCAAGUCUAUCAAAGAAUUCCCUGUUAGUACGUAACAGCAAGUUAUUGUUACUUCUUCAAACAGUGUAUUAUUUAUUUCAUAUUUUGUAUGCAUGAACAAGGUCCAUCCCUGAACACAUCUAUGUGCCGUUUUUUCAACUUAUAGCGCCACCCUACGUAAAUAUAUGCACUAACUGUAAUACAUCAUGUCCAAUCUGGUCCGAAUUUCACAGGUUUGAUGAUGCUUCCAGCCUAAAUUUAUCUACAUUUUUGUCAUAUAAUACUGCCACUGACUGGGUGAAAGUGGUGUCAACUUCCAUAUGCACUCCUGAAUAAGCCUUUAACCUUUGGGCUUUUAUCAAUGCAGAACCAUAAAGAUUCUUAUAUAAACAUAUGAACUGACAUGUAUACUCAAAGUCUUGAUCUACAUUUACUUUUGGGUCAUGGUGAGAACAUUAGCUAAGGGGACACUGUCUUGCAUUACAGGUUUUCUACACCUGGUGGUUGCAAUAAAGUGAGGGGGCCCACUUGUGACCCUGAUUUCGUUUCGGGUUCUCAUUCUUCUCUGUGUCCUUUGAGUAUGUUUUUCAUCAUUUCAGCACUUAUUUUUCCCUGUCAUCCAUUGUUUCUCUUCCCCUUUCUUCAUUUCCACGCAUAUCAUGUCCUCCUUUUGUAUUAUACACCAUCCAUGCCUGUCUUGCAUCCUUUGGCUCUGUUUUCACUCACUAUCUGAACAUCCAGCAUUGUGUUGUAUUAUGUGUUACAGUAUCUACAGUAUAUGUGUGACAGGUAUUGUGGAUUGACAGCUUCUCAGGUAAGGUUUACAUCUCUUUGAUCUGUAGGAUACUGGGCCUGAAGACAAUAAACCAACUCUGAGAUAGCCUGAGGCUCGAUACGUCACCUCAUACUCUUUACACUGUAGAGAAGAAUACAGUGUGUCCUCAGGCGUAGCUUCCUGCUAGAGUGACUGCGCAUGAUUUGAGCUUUUUGGCAUAUGUAUUUUUUUUUUUCUUUUGAUACUUUUUAUUCUGCUUCUACGGAUUUUAUUUUUAUUCUUUUUUUUUUUAAAUAGCUAAUAUUUACCUGUCUUCCCAUUUCCAAGUAUAAGCUUUGUUUUCUUGAAUAAUCCCUUAAAGAUGGAUAAUACAGCUCCUCAAGAGCCAUAUUGAUACUAGCCUUUGUCUGCCGGUAGUGCUGUAAGAAGUCAAGCUAGAUUUAUACAAAGGUGCAAAAGCUGAGUCAACCAAAUAUUCACCUUCUCCGUGUGAAACCAUUUUUUUGUUUCCUCCACCAUUCAACAUUUCUUGCUCUGAGACAUGAGUCAGAACUCCUACCUCAGCAAAGUCAUUAUCCUGUCUUUUAAAUCAAAGGUCUUUUGUGCUUAUUAUUUGUUUUUUUACAAAGGAGCCCAAAUCCAGAUCUCGCCCUCAUCCUGAUACCAACUUGCAUUUCAAUUGCUGCAAUUAACACCAUUGUCAACAUUUAAGCUUAAAGGAAUCUUGUUGUUUCCUGUUUCAAUACAAAAAUCUGCACAAUUGAAACUCGAUAAGCUAAGGUCAUGCUCGCACCAAAAGGUCAGUUUUCGUGUACGAACCAAAGCGAGGAUGAUUCAUUGAUGAUACAUUGUUGCAAUUUCUCAACUGAUGCGGUUCGUGUUUGAAAAGGCUAAACUCAAAUGGUCCAAAAAUUUUCAUGUGGCAUCAAAAGCGGGUUGGGUGAUUGCUUAUACAGUUUAGGCGGGUAGACGACAAAUCCCUUGCAAUUUUUACUGUACCUCAUGGAGCAGUGUCUGCUCAUUUUUAUGUUGGUGCUGAUCUGGACUGCAUAUCAGCAGACUUUAACAGACCUUUCAUAUGAACGGCUGGGACAAUCUGCAAACAGACGGUCCUAUCACAGAAGACGACAGGCAAUAAUGAGAUCCAAUGUUUUUUCUAAGUGCGCUUCCUGAGAUUGGCUCUAGAGUUCACUUGAUAGCAGUCCAACACCACCCCAAACAGGUGGACCUGUGAGCGGAUGACUGGCUGCACCGGAGUUCGAGGCCAGUGUUUCCACCAACCAAAGCAAACCGCACCAAGGAGGUAAAUGCUGUAGGGUUUAGUUCAACUGGACUAAGCAAGGCUGGUUUGAUGCAACCUAAGAAGAACAAUUCUCAGCAAACAAAUGGGCACCAUGAUGAAGAGGCUAAAGACUUGAUUGGUCCAUGAGGAAAGAGUUGGGAAGGGACCAAAUCUUGAUCACUGUAUAGUGAGAUCUGUUGUCCUUUCCAGAAGUGCAUCAUUUCAGUGGGUAACCAAGGCUCACUAAUGUGGUGAGAGCAAGCCAAGUCUAACAGGUUAGCCACAAACCGCUGAAAGUUAACCGUAGCUCUGAUAGGAAACAUUAGAAACCAUGGCGCAUUACAGUUUUUGGAUACAGGAUUGUUCAGCUGCAGAGCGAUCAUGAUGUGAGCAUCAGUACUGGACCAUGAAGCAAUGGAAGAAGGUGGCCCUAGAUUCCCCAGAUCCCUGUCCAAUCAAACAAUUCAGGGAUGUGCAAGUCCAAUUACUGAGGCCCCGUCUCAAAUCCUGCAGGUCUUAAAGGAUCUGCUGCAAGAUGUUUCAGAAGUCUAGUAGAGUCCCUGUCUUUUAGUUCCAACCCUAACAAGACCUUAACAAAGAUGUUUUUAAGGAUCUAUACCUCGGUAGCUGAAAAGUUUGUAGAUACACAUUGUUUUAUUUAAUCUGACGGCAGUUAUACAUAUGUUUUUCAUAACUAAGUAUAUAUGGAUUGGUGUAGGAGUGACACAUAUGCUGUUUUCACUUUCUUUUAAUAGCUGGACUGCUCAUCAUGAAUAACAGAGACAGAAACUCAGAGGAUGAAAGCCGAUCACAUAUGCUCGACAGUCUGUGUGUCAAUAACACACACACACACACUCCUACAGUCAGUGACACCUCAGAGAAGAACAAACAGCAGAGAAUGUCGUGAUCCUGUCAACACUUAUAAUUCUGUCAAACUUCUCAUGUGGUUGAAAUAAGUAUUUUUUUUCUCCUUUUUCUGUCCUUUGGUUUGAGUAGAAGAAAUAAGAAUCCUGGGUUUGCAGGUCUUAAAACCUUCAAUAAAGCUGUGGUUUACUGGGCUGCAUUUUGCAACCUUGGGUUUCAUCACAUAAAGCCAUAUCCUCUUAGUUAUUAAAUAGUAGCAUGAGCACUUAUCUUUAAUGCAUCUCAAACAACCCUUAAGGAUGAGGGGUUUGAGGCAAUGACCAUGAACCAGCACUUCCCCUAUUUGAGUCUGGCCAGGACCUUUGCAUGUCUCUCCCAUCUCUUUGUCUCUUUUCUCAUUUCCUGCUACUGUCAUCUAAUAAUCAAGGAAAAACAUGGCCACAGUUACCUUAAGGAAAAAAAAAAAAAACCUUGCUCUUAGGGUGCCCAUUGUUGCAGGGCUGCUCCCCAUUCAAUCUUUUAUUUACUGUGAAUGAUGCAGUUAUUUAUGAGCAGUUCUAUUGCACUUAAGUAUAAGGGGUUUGUUUAUAUUUCCGUGCAGCGUCCUUGCUUGCUGCAGAACAAAUUACUACCUUUAGCCUGUAUGACUGGCAAGAGUAGCUUGUUGAAUUUCCAAAAAAGGCAAAGCUUCCUGUAGGUCAGUGAAAAUAGAGCUCAAUUGCCAGCUUUCAAACUUUACAAACCAGACAAAUGGACUGAACUUCAUUCUAACUGAACCAAACAGGUUAGGUGUGAAAUGAUGGAGACGUAACACAGAGAGCUGCUUCACAUGACUGUCAAAUGUUGAGGAGAGAUUAAAAAUAACUUUUAGGUAUUAAACUUAGGAACAUCCUGCAGCAGAGAGGGUCCAAGUGUUUCAUGUAACUUAAGUUAUUUACCUUUUUUGAACAAAAAUAACUAGUAUUUUUCUUUUAUCAGCAAAUAUUUUAAACAAUUCUCAAAGGUCCAGAUUCAAAUUGCUUUGAGGGAGCCCAAAAGCCAAGACAGUGCCAAGACAGCUCAGUUAACAUGACAAAUGAAGCUUUAAAUCAUAUGCAUUGAAAUUAUAUGUCUUAUUUAAACACGAUACAGUCUUCCCUAGAGAAAGCAGAUACAGGGAAAGUAGUAUAAAGGCUCCAGGACUGCGCCCUGUGGUACACCACAUGUUGAAGGAGACGAGUCAAUCACCAACCGAGACCACAGAAAGCAGAUACAGGGAAAAUACUAAGAGCCCCAGAACUGAGCCCUGUGGCACACCACAUGUUAAAAGAUUUAUACACAAAAUCACCAGCUUAGACCACAGGAAACAAAAAAAGAGAAAAGAACAAGGAUCCCAGGACUGAGCCUUUUGGUACUGUACAUGUUACAGGAGACAAGUCAUUUUGUCUCUAAGGAAUGAAGAGAACCAGUCCAGACCUCUAUCCCCAUCCAAUCCUGUAGUUGAUUCAUAAGGACAUGAUGGUCUUCAGUGUUAAAAACAGAGCCAAGGUCUAGAAGGACCGACACAGAAAAGUCUCCAACAAAGAGAAAUCAACAGAAAGAUUGGAGAGGCCACUUUGCCUGCAGGAGGCACCAAAAUCAACACAAACCAAAACGUUUUGCACAAGAGCAGUUUAGUAAAAAAAAAAAAAAAGGUUUUAAGUAUAACCUAAUUAAAAAUUGUUCCAGAGAAAAAUUGACUCAUUAAAAAAACUCACAGCCCAGCAGAGAAGUGUUUUUUUCUAGGGUGUGCAUCUGGGACUGAGUGUCAGCUAAAUGUAUAUAAUUAAGAAAUAAAUAUUCAAAAGUGCACAAUAUCAUGAGAGACAGAAAUGCUGCAAAUCAGCACCAGAGAAGAUAAAUAAGUGCCUGGGAGAAGGGGGCAGUCAGAUCUCUGCUCUGUGCAACAGAUAAUCAGGAUUGGGAAUGAGGAUCUUUAAUGGCUGUCAAUUAAAAACUAAUUAGAGGGUGUAAGCUCAGCUAGAUCAGCUAUCAGUCCAUUCAUCAUCACACAGCUGUCUCUGAUCCUCACACACACACACACACACAUACACAGUCAUACAGACAUUAUCAUAUAGACAUUGUAUUCAGAUUCUUUUUUCAAUUAUCUCUGUUUCUGCCCCUCCGAUGUUUGUGUACAUGUACAACAGAGCUCGUACACACCUGCGCACUUCAGCACACACUCACUCCAACAAAGACAGUAAAUACAUAUGGAGCUCAUUCAGCAGCAAACCAGCUGUAAUAGACACAUUCCCUCCUCCAUCUCUUUCAUUUACCAGAGCAGAAUUGCCUCUGAAUUGAUGGCAAAUAGUUGAAUUUGACCCAAAUGUGUUUCUAUAAAUGGCUGCAAACAGAGACAAAUGAAAACACAUGACCUGAUGGAAUUGCUGAAAUUCAAAUUCAGCGAAUGACUCCUGCCAUGACAACCAAUUAGUGACAAAUGGAUGUAUAUAUCUCCGGGGGCAUCAAUCUAACUUCAAAGCAGCGCGUUCAGCAGAAGCACAGGUGCAUGAAGCUCUGGUGACUCUGCAUUUCAGGCCUUGUUUAACAUAUUCAGACUUUUAUUGGACAGAAACCUCUCAUUUCCUCUGAAGUGCACAGGGGUUCAACAAGAAAUGUAACACCAUCAGUGUUUACAGGAAAAAGGGACCAAAACAAAGAGGAUUCGUGUAUUGUUUUUGUUCUUUACUGUCAUUUUUACCAGCCUAAUUCCAAAGAAACGGUGUGUAAAGUGUGACUGGAAACAGAAAUUAUGGUUUAAAAGUCAUUCAAACCUUUUUAAAUCUUUGACUGAAAACAGAGUGGAGACAAAUGUUGGGGAACCGAGGAGACACUUUUGGGAGUUUUGAAGGUGAAUCAUGGUCCCUGUCCUUACCUGGUAUAAGAUUUCAGCUGUUCAACAGUUUCAGAGUCUCCUUUUUUGUGAUUUUCAUUUAAUGAUGCACCAAUAUUUUCUUAAGUGACAACUCUGAACUACCAGGACUCUUCUACUGCAGAGCCAUGUAAUUAUAAUAUACAGAAUGUGGUCUCACUAAAAUAGACACAGUUUCUCCUGAAAAAGUCGUUGUCUGGAUGCAUCCUAACACCAUCAGGGAUGCUGGCUUUGAACGUGUGCUGACAAACAAGCGGGGUGGCCCCUCCCCUCUUGAGGGUGCUGGACAGGGCAUCUGUGUUGUCCAAAAAGAAAGUCAAAUUUGGAUUUCCUUGACCACAGGACUGUUUUCCCUCAAUAUAUUUUUGACAACCUUGGGCCCAGAGUAGCUGCCAGUAUUACGCAGUCAUUUUGUCAACUGUGUUCACUGAGAAUAGAUUUUAGAUGUGAUUUGGACCUCAUGCGGCAAUUUCCACAACAGAGCUAAGUCUGUUUUAGACACUUUUCAGAAUUGGCUUUUGGACUCUUUCCUUCUGUACACAGGUUUUUCUUGAUUUUUCCAUUUUUACAACCAUAGUGUAGAUGAUGAAAUCCCCCUAUCUUUGCUAUUCACAGUAAGGAUCAUUAUUGAAAAUGUUGAACCAUUUGCUCACGCAGUCUCUUACAGAGGGAUGAACCUUCAUUAUCUUGUUUUGCCACACUUAGUCAUGUUGCUAACCUGUUGUACUUCACCUUGUUAGUUGGGGGAUGCUCCUCCAGGAUAUUUUUCGAAAUUGUAUUUUUUUUCUGUUUUCUGUUUAAACUUUUCUGUAACAUGUUGCUGGCUUCAAAUCUAAAACGAGCACAUUUACUUCAUCAAAGGAUACACUUUCUAAUUUUCAACCUUUUUAUUUGUCCUCUUUGCACUGUUUUUUCUGGGUGGAAGGUGGAUAUCUGCUUAACAGCAACAGUUUUAGAGCUGCAAACAAGGUUAAAUGGCUGAUAAAGCAUUAGUCUUGUACUUAAUGCCAUCAGUUUUAAGUUAGACACCGGGUUGGUAUAAAGGUGCAUCAAUACUCUGAUCUGUAAAGAAGGCAACUUGUAGCAGUGCUCCCCUAAAGCAGCACCCCAAUCAGCUGGGUCAAGGCGAAGUGUUUGACUUUACACAGCAUCUACUGCUUUGUGAUCUGAAAAUUGCUUUUGCCCCCAAGUAGUCACAGGUGAAGCUUUUAUCACAGCCACAACCCAACCAGACGCAUGUUUUUCAGAAAACCUGUAGUUAAGUUAGAGGGAUUUUUCAGACUUCUCUUCAGCUGAAUUGAAGGUGUUUCAUUAAAUCUGGAUCCACUCUCUCAAAUCUGCUAAUUGAGUGCAAUUCUCUUUGUAUCCCUCUCGAAAUUUGUGAAGUAUUUAUCAAAAAAAAAAAAGAGGAAGAAGCGAUAUUGACCAUGGGAUUGCAAAGGCUUUCAACAAAUUUCUCUAACCCUAAAUCCAAUUUGGAAGGCAUACACCACAUUUGCUGUUUGGCUUGAAUUUCUCCCUUUUCGGACAAAAAGCAGAGAGAGGAGGAUUUGAUCCAGUCAGAGAUGUUAGUUUGAGUAUUGGUGCUCUUUCAAAUCGGAUUUUCAUACAUGAUUCUCCAGAAUAGCAGAAUCUGGCUCCAGUUUUCCUGACCUGUGAAAUUCUGAAACACUAAAAUAAGAAAGGACGGUCUCAUUCUGGACGCUCUGUUUGACUGUGAAGCACUGGUAGUAUUCUCUGUGAGAUUUUAUUUCGUUCAGAUCCCUCUCAAACACAGACAUUCACUGUUUGUUAUUUGUUUCAAACUGCCAGACAAAUAUCACAUGCAUCUCGACCAUGCCAGUGAACAAUUUCUGAUAAAGACUGAAGAAAACAUGCUGUUCCCUUUUGAAAAUUUUAAAAGGAUAUUUAGUCCAUUAAUCGUUUACUUAUUUACUGAGCUGCUCUGCCACCAUGAAAGGAUCGUUCUGAAGAAAUCAAUUUACAAGAAUAGAUAUUUGUCCUUUAGAAGAAGUGCUGCAAUUAAAAAAAAACAGCAACCAAAAGUGUUAAAUGUUAUCCAAAAAAAUAGGAAUUUGGUUUUGUACUAAGGUGUCAUUAAAAAGAAAAAUUUCGGUCUGAUUUUUCCUUUAAAGGACACCUGCCAAAGAUAUUCCAGCGAAAAACCACUCUCUGAAACUACUCGCCAUCGCUCUGCUCAGACAAAUUUGACCCAAUUCUCCAAAAUACUACAAAUUACACCCAACUCUAAGACUUUGAACUACAUUUGACAGCACACUGUUCUGGCGCUUAGUACAGAGGAACCUGAUGUAGGCUACUCUUCUGUGCCGUUCCAACUGGAAAUGAUGCAACUUUGUGUUGAAGGAAGCCAACUGAGCUGCAAAAUUGGGACACUGCUGCCAAUUUGGAAUUUGAAAACUUCACAAAGAGUGAACAGAAAAUGCUGUUCCAAGGAUUUCAUCGCUUGUUUUUGUCAUUUGAGAUGUUGCUAGAUUCAGCACCACUGCCCAUCAGUUAUUUCCUUCCACUUUUUCUUUUUUUUUUUUUUUUUGCAGUGAGUUUCCAGAACAUAAUUGCACAGGCUUGUACCUCGGUGAAGGAUCAGUAAGGAUUUGGUCUCGCUCACUCCUUGUCGAAGCAUGUUUCCAAGCACCGUGUCUGCUCUCCUGGUUUCCCAUUUGUUUUAAUAGAACGGGCCUCCACAAUCCAAGUCCAGUUAAAGGUUUAAUCCAACACAUAUUUAGGAUCGGCAGAUUACAUUAAAAAUGACAAAGGCAAUUUGAUCUUGCUCAAGUUGUCUAUGAUCCAUCUUACCAUAUCAGAGCAGGGUUUGGAUCCUUCUUCUUUGUCAGGUUAAUAUAAAGUGACUAGACGUCUCCGAUUUCUGGUGAUAGUCCCCAUUUUGGAUGACUUGUCCCCAGCUAAAGCUGUCCCAGGAAAUGUCCCUGAUUUAAGCAUUUUCUGAAUGAUAGACCAGCAUUUUCUUUGCUGGUAGAAAAGAAGACCUUAGAGCAAAUACUGAUGCCAAGGCUAUUAAAAAUCACAUCAAUUCAUUAAAAUAAAACUCAGUCAGAGUGAAGUGACGAUUGCAGCCUGAUAUUGCUGGCAGUGCUCCUCUAGGUUGUAACUUGCCAUUUUAUCCCAUCAACCCCUAACUAACACCAGUACAGUGUCAGUAGAUGAUGUGAAUGCCUGGUUCAAAAACACACUGGUUCUUGACUUCCUGGGGCCAUUGCAAUCGUUACAGGCAAGAAAAACUGAGCUGUGAAAGAAAAGAAACUGAUAAAAUUGAACAAGCUCACUCAGGUCUGGAUGAUCCAGAUCUGGUCCACACGCCACCAUUUGGUGAGUUCAAGACAAAGCCACUUGUAAAUAUGGACUGUGAAAUUGAAUACUAAGCAUUUACCUUUGAAAUUAUCUGAAUUGACACACUGCUUUUGUGUGAGAUUGAUUUGUUUGAGGCUUUUUGUCUGACCGUCUCAUUUAACAUAAAAGGGGUAACUGUUUGAAUCUUUUCUUCCCUAUAAACUCCUCAUUUUCAGUGAUCCCUCUCUUUGUCAUCCUCCUUGUCAACAUGUGUCACUUUGGGUGUGUGCACCCCUGUGUUUGUGUGUGCGUUUGUACGUGUGUGGUGUCUAGACAGGAGAAGCCUAAUCUAUUUUCCAUGUUCCCAUCCGGUCCUGUUGCAGCCUUUGAAUGGCAGAUAAACAGAGCGGGCUGAGGCUGAGGCUUCAUCAAGAGGAUUAAUUCUGUGAGUCUUAUCUCUAGAGGAGCCUCUCUGCCUUCUCUUUCUCUUUCCCUUUUCCCCACAGGCUUUGAGGGCUCUCACCGUACACAACAGAGUUCACCCCCAGUUCACACUCUCUACUGUACAAACCGCUGCUGCGCUCCCGAAAUCAGACAACGCACCUCUGGAUCUGUCCUGCGAUUGUGCAAAUUGACCCCGUAUGUAGAUGAGCUCCUACCAGCGACGCCAACAUACUUUCCAAGUUUUUUCUUUUUCUGACAGAGUGGAUUAGUGUCUGACAGAAUAUGAGCAGACAUCAAAAUGCAAACAAAAUCAUUAAGAAGCGCUGGAAAAUGGAGCAAAUGUGAUGAAAUAAGACAAAAAUCAAAUACAAGCACCAAAAUAUGAUUUAUCUGUUCAUGCCAGGACUCUGUGGCGUUGUCACAGUGUGUCUAAAAGCACGGCAUUUGAAUAUUAAAGGAAGUUGGCGAUGAAAUUGAGCAUUAUUAUUUAAUUUGAAAGCACCAAACCCCAAAUUAGUACAAUAAAAUGGGAACAACAUGGAAACUUGUCAUUUUUUUGUUGAAUCCAAUAAAUCAGUUGGCUUUUGGACACUUGUGUAAAUUUAGGUAAAUUUAUGCAAUAAUUAUAUUUCCAUUAGCACAAAUUGAAAACAGGUUAAGUCCAACAUUCACCCAUUUGCCUGUCAAACAAACACAAGUACACACUGCAUUCAUAAAAAUGGACACCAGCUGAGAGUGAUAAAGGAAGUUUUGAAUGACCGUGUUUUUGAUGAUUAAGCAGGUGGUAGUUGAGCUUUGCUGAUGUGUGUAAUCAAACUCAAGUGCAGACUUGGAGUGAAAAAGCAAAGAUAACUGUGAUUUUCAUAAAGUCACCACACGUGAGAAGAGCUAUCUGCUGAAGUUGCUUGUUCUUUUCUUGACUCUUGCUGUUGCAGCCUUUUCUUAUUCUUUGAAUGCUUUCAUACUCAAGAAUGCUCUGUAAUUUGUACUCAACACAUGUCACUGAAAGCCAGUUUGUUGCCAGUUUUCAUGCAAAGAGAAAGUGUUCAAGCCAUUCACUUUGUUGAAGGUCAAGCGACAAAGAAGAAAGACAGAGGAAGACCAAUUGAGAUGGCGGUGAGUAAGCAGAACAAUGAAGGACUUUGAGAAGACCCAAAAAUCUUAAUAAUAAUCAUUCUUUAUUUUCAAGUUUGACCAUGGUGAAAGAAAACAGACGUGAAAUCAAAGACAAAAGCAGGCGCCACAAGGGAUGUUGAAGCUUGGAUACAAUAUAUGACAUGGAUUUUUGGCCCACAGAAAUAGAAAUGCUGAUAAUUGGUCUAGCCAACUUGUAAUCUUGGUGCAAACUGGCGAAGAGAUUUGUUAGUUAUUCGGUCAGUCAAUGUCACUGCACACAUCUCCUCUAGUUUGGUGUUUUACCUCUGGUCAUAUUUUCUUCCAUUUAUAAUCAGUAAAAGAGAGUUAAACGCCUUACCUUUAAAAAGCAGGAUUCUAGGAUGGUCUAGAUGUAGUCACCUAAGUUCUGGGUUGAAUCUAUUUUUCAUUCUUAAGGUUAGGUUCUGUUUGCUGACAACUCUUGAGAGGUGCUAUCAGAACCAACAUGGAAUAGCCUUAGCAUGACUAAAGAGAGAAGGACAUUAUAGCUAGCAUGACUUAGGAAUCAAUGUCAUCAACCCACCGACUACAAAAGCCACGAGAAAUCUUCUUUGCAGCACAACCAAAUCAGCUUUGACAUGAGGUUCGGCUGAAAUGUGCUAAAAGCUUCUGCUGGUGAGUUUGUGUUAAUAUCUGCGAGUUUUAUGGGCUUUUGUUCUUCAUUAAAUAGUCUGCUAUCAUUCUGCAGAAAAUAUGUAUGCAUGUGUGUCCAGUAGCCAUGAGGCAGCAGCUGACGAUAAUCUCUCGGAGGGGUCGAUGUCGUGGUUGUCACGGCGAUCUUCCCGGGGCUGAUGUUGGCUGACGGCUGAUGUCACCAUUGUUUUCCAUCACUGGCCCUCUCUGAUGGCUUUCAUUUCAUUCUGUGUGUGUGUGUGUGUGUGUGUGUGUGUGUGUGUGUGUGUGUGUGUGUGUGUGUGUGUGUGUGUCUACAUGUAUCAGAGUGGUUUCCAAUUGGUGUAUUACUUUGUUUGUGUGAAUGGGAGGCACUAAUUUAAAAAGAAAACUACCCACAGGGACCAGUUUUUCCUAUUAUCAGUGACAUUUACCUGUAUUUCAAUAACAAAUUACGCAACUUUCUGCAUGUGAAUGAUACUUUUGUUUCCUUUUCUCCCAUCUCAAAAAACAGACCUCAACAGGUGGAAGAGGGGGGGCCCUUCAUUUCGUGCUCUUUUCUUUACACAUGAACAUUUUUGUCAUUCAGUCUCCAUAUACAGCUAGUGACGCAAACAUAAAAGUCACCAUGUAAUUGUUGCUCAGUCUAGGGCACUUUUGUAAGUGAUAGCAGGAUCGAACUAUUAACCUUCAGAUUGACAGAUGACCCACUUUACCAUGGAGCCAGAGCCACCAUGUUCACUAGAUUGUUUAUUUCCUAUUAAAAUCCAAAAUAAGUAGAAUAUCAAGAACAAGGGCCUGUUUUAAGCAAAAGAAAAAUACAGCAUCCCACUUUCUCACACCAGAGGUGUUUGGUCCACUUUUAACAAAACCUUGUCUGUUUCUUUAGAUGGUCCAGCAUGUUUGGAGUGGUGUGAAAACUCAUUCGAACCCUGUUGAGGACUGAACAAGUGAACUCUUGCCUGUUGAAAAACGGUGGUUAUAUGUUAUAAAUAAGUUGGCAAUAGAGAGUAGAUUUCCAUUUUCUUUUCUGGCCAGUUGAUGAGCCGUUUUUUUUUUGUCUUCAUUUGAAUCUAAUGUCAGUUUGAUAUCAGCGAGGACCACUUUAGUCAAAGAAAAUUAUUCAUUUGCAUGCAACAAGUUGACUCUGCCUUUCCACAUGAAAUACCAAAGCUUUGAGACAGGGAGAGCACAUCUCCCCUCUGUUAGAUAAGCACACACUGAAGUUUUGGACUCUUACCCUUAUUGUUUCCUUAUAUCUAGAUCCUGCUUGCAUUGUGAUUGCUCUCAAAUGUUUUGACUAAAGAGUCUGCUAAAGGAAUCAAAAGGUCAAGGUAGGGAGAGCAGCAGCAAAGCUUGACUUCGAGGUCUACCUGUACGAAGAGUAUAAUCAUUUUUAUUCAGUGUCAGUAAAUCGUGAAUGUUAACUCAACACAAUACAAUGAACACAACUGUGUGUAUAUGUAUUAAGGUUUUUUAUUGUCUUGUCUAACCUUUUAGCUUUUGUCUCGCAGGAUCUUCAGAAAUAGUGUAUUUGAUAACACUCCAAGAAAUGAUUUCUCAUUUCUGUAGCAGAGUUUAAAGAGUUAAACUUGUCAGAGCCAGAGCUGCAUCGUUAAAAAAUAUGACUUAUCUUUCUUUUUUUAACCAUUCACCUGAAAGCACACUCAGUACAGACUCAGUGCACUCUGCCAGUCAACAUCAGCAGCAGAGUUCACGUGCCAGCUGACAAUCUCAGGGCUCUUAUGUGGCUCCUUUGGUUGUAAAAUAGCAGCUUGUCCAGCCUGAACAAUGAAUGAAUGAAUAACAAACAAGUUCACGGGUGCAAUUUAUUUCCUAUGAUGAGUUUUCUGAUUAAAUUAGUCAAGUUUGUUUCGCUCUCAGCAGGUUCAUCUGCUUGCGUGCUUGAGUGUGUGUGUGAAUCUGCCUGCGUGUGUGUUCUUUCCCGCCUGCCGAUUCCACUUGCCUGCAGAUGGCAAUGUGUUACAUUUCUAUAACAGUCGCUCUCUCUUUCUGUCAGGUCCAAGUGUUGCUGCUGCUCCUUCCUGCAGCUCAGGCUGGUGUGCAGCUUCCCUUCUUGAACGAAUGCAUUCUUUGCAUUUCAAUGUUGUAACUUCAUUUAAGGCCUUUUGAAGCGCCGCACUCGAGACAGAAUGGAACUGAAAUCGAAACAAUAUCUGCAGCUUGUAAUAUAUUGUAAAAGGCGCCUUGUUAAGAGUGAUGUGCCAUAAUGUGAGAGGAAAAAAAGUCAAUAAACAUCACUGUCAUCCUCCACUGCCGCCUCUCUCCCGCCAUCUCUCUCUCCCCCGUCUUAAUUCAUCCUGAGUUUCAUCUCCAAGCUGAAAAUUUGAGUGUAAUUUCCAAGCGAUGAGUGUUAUACAGGUUGUCAGCGUUUGCAAUGAUCUGACGUCUCUCAGCCGAGCGUAUGCAAUGCCGCAUGGAGAGGAAGAUAGAGAGGAGAAAGAGCUGAUGGAGGGAGACAGACAGAGACCAUAUGGAGUUUCAUAGUUUUAGAUUUCUCCUGCAAAUGCUUUCCUCAAACUGACUCAUGUUGUUUUUAUUACUCCUGACAGUAGUAAACAGCUGGUGUGUGGGGCGGAGAGUCUGGAUUUCUGUCUGCUGUGGGUUUCCGAGAGUGUGUGUGUCUGUCUUUACAUACGAGAGCUUUUAUUUGUGGGAUUUUUGUGUGUGUGUGUGUGUGUGUGUGUGUGUGUGUGUGUGUGUGUAAAAUCUGAAUGCAUUCCAUCACUCUGUUUACAGGCCCGUGCAGCGUGAGAAGUGUGUGUUAGAGGCGAUGCUACACUCUCAGCAGCCAUGUCCAAUUGAAAUAGAUUGGAGCCAUGGAGGCAGGGUAAUUCUGGGUGUGUAUGCAGGCCCGCUGUAAUCUUCGUACUCCACCACGCCUCGUCUGGUUUCUUUCUCUUACUUUAUUUUACACAUAAUGGGAUCGAUAGCUUUGUGAGCUCCUGCAGAAAACACAAUCACACAAUGAAAGAAUGAGCCUUAGCCUUCAGCUAGUUUUUCUUUAUGACUUAGUUGUAUCUGUGCAGCUUUUGUCCUCUCUUGAACCUGUGACUGAUUUCACGAAAUCUCAUCUCCAAUCUUUUUGUGCGGGCAGAAACAGCAUUAUUAGCAUAUGAAUCACACUUAAAAAUCUGGUCGCAAUUUCAACAAAAAGAAAUUUGUUGAAUGAAAAAAAACAGGAAUAAUUCAGAGGUUCUUACAUUUACACAAGAGGGGAAAAAAUGAAGCCGCAGAAAAGUCAUGUAGUUCCUGGAUUUAUCCUCCAUCUAUUAUCUGUUCUUUCAAGGAUAUCUUGCAUCAUGCCUUGAUUCUCUUAUUCCCCGUCUCCAUCCUGCCGGAUCCUCAAGUGACCCGGCAAUUGAUUUGCUCUAUCAUUACCAAGGAUGUGUUAAGUUCCCAUCAUUUGACGAGAGGGAGCAAAGAGCUUUCCCAAAGGAGAGCAGAAUGGGGAAAUUGGUUCCCAUUUUAAAGUGGAAAAAAAGGGUCAUUUGCUCCAAUAAUUGGGGUCUCUAACUGCUCGGCUUUCUUUGGGAAGUUAAUGUAAUAUUGCUAAAAUGUAGGUCUAGAUUGAUUGUUUAACAUAAGACUGGGACAAUGUGGACUCCGGUUUUGGUAGUGAAACAGCUGAUCAGCUCUGCCUUGCAGUUUAAAUAAUACUAGAUUCUGUAUCUGUCUGGCCUUUGUGUUUUACCUCACAGUCUAAAAAAUACAUUGUAAGCAUCACCAUAUCCCAGCAGAAAUCAGUCAAUCUUAAAUCCAGAAACACUGGGAUGGUGUGUAGAAUGUCACAAGACCCAGAUUAUGAUAGUUUUCAAAUUAUUUAAUCAUUAUUUUCAAAUUCAAAUUAUGAAAUGUUAAAACUGAAAAAUGUUAUCUGCUGAUUUCAAACCUAAUCCCAGCAGCACAUUUGAAAGAUAACUCUGGACAUCACCCAACAAAUUAGGUUGAUAAAGAGCAGGUUCACCAGUCUGUGAGAGACUGCAUGAGCAAAAAGUCAACCAUUUCAACCACUUCCUCUGUGUGGAGUUGCAGAAAUUUGAAGAGUUCAUAAUCUACAGUACAUAAUAUCAAAAGAGCAGAAAACCUGUAAAAUUGGUGUUCAGGAAGCACUUCUUUUAAAAAGGACAUUGCACUGUAGUGGAAAUCACAGCACUGGCUCAAAACUGCAUCAGUCUGCCAAUAUAUGUAAACAUUAUCUAGAGAUGCCAGUGACUUUUUGGGGCCUUACCCGUUUCAGAUGGGCUAAGGUGAAGUGUAAAACUGUCUUUGUGUUUAAUGGAUCCAAUUAGCAUCCCCCUUUUUUUUAAUUAUUAUUAUUAUUUGUUUUUUGGACAUCAUGGACACUGUGUUCGCUGCACUUAAGUGGAGAGGAACCACCCAGCCUGUUAUUAGCUCAGUGAGCAAUAAUAAGGCCCUAAUUCAAAGUGAGAGCACUGUUCCACAUUUUUUUAAUAAGUUUGCCAUUGGAUAUGCAGAUGUUAUACAGUGGAUAGAGCAGGAAACUGGGAAGACAGAGUGGGAAAUGACUUGUGCCAAAGGGCCCUAGGGUGGGUUUGAUCCAGGACGUCCUGCUUUAAGGACAGCGUUUGUUCAAAGUCUACUGGUUCACUAGAAAACCACUAACUGAACUCAACAUCAUAUCAGAAUAAGUCAAAUGGAAGUGUGUAAAUUAUAUCAAAACAAGAUCAUUUCAAGUGAAGAUUCAAUCAAUCAUGGAGUCAUACGCAUGAUAAAAAACUGCAAGAUUGAUGUUUAAGACAGCAUCAAAGAAAAUCCAGACAUCUAUAUGACAUGAAGAUUCACGCUAUGCUGUACAGUGCGGGGUGUGAGGUGAUGGGAAUGGCAAUGUGGCUGGCCCACAAACACGCACAUCCUGCACUUCCAUUUGUCUGUUUGCUCAGCUAACACUGUCGGCAUUUGAGCUGCGAGUCCUUUCUUUAUGAGUCCUGAGUGAUUUAGCCCUGAGAAGCAGAGUGCUCUCUUAGAGCAGUCAGAGCCACUCAGCACUCAGCGGCAGACAAGAGGAUGGGACGUUCAAGUGUUGCCUCUAAACCACAUACCUCCAAACCUUUCUUGGGUUUUCUUACAAUUCUUCAACCUGGAAGCUUUCUUAUAGACAAUUUAAAACCUUUUAAACCUUCUGUAAGUGUCUAAAAACACGAUGAUGGCAGGGCUUUUAUUUUGGAAGUACAGGCUCCUGUUAGACAAUUUUAAUGCAAGAAAACUAGACCUUUCCCUCAACAUGCCAUUCCAAUCAAGGUAUAGACCCUGAAGUAGUUUCCAGACUUCUUAGACCGUUGAAUGGGUAAAUGCGAAAGUGCACUCCACAGAAUGAAGGGAGGAACAUACAGGCUGAAGUGAGAGAAAACCCCGCCAGAAAAAAAAAAAAAAGUGGAAAUUGUUUGCUCCACUGUUCACAUUUCCAGUGUUAAAAUGUAAAGUGCCUUUUACAUGGCCACUCAUCAGAAGUAUCUCCAUCACACUCAAUAUAUUCUUCCUCAGAUCAUGGCCAAACUUUUGAUCAGACUGAGUCUCCUUGGCAGCAGAUUAUGAGUGCAUGUCGACUCCCAAGUUUAGUUAUUUACUUCCAUUAUCAAAUCAAGCAUAGAUGCUGCUCUAUAAUUAAGUGGUUUCCAUCUUUCAAGCAUUCAAGCUACAGAGAAAAAAAACUCUACAUAAUCACAAUACAUACAAUGUAAGAGCCCUGCGUCUGUGCUCAAAGCCACCUACUGAGUUAGGUGAUUAGAACGGUGUAUGCAUGUUACCUUCAAUAAUAUCCUUUUAUAUAAAUUAAUCAUAAAAAAGUUACAAGCAAUGAGGAAGCUUAGCAUUAGUCAACUGUUUUUUCACUCUUUAUGAGACACUGAACUGAGAUCAGACAGACACAUCAAGCUGAGGGACUCAACAAAACCUCAUUGUCAUUCACUAUCUUGUUGCGCUUGCUAUCCUUACCUCUUUGUUGUCCUUGUCUACCUUGUUGUCCUCGUCCUCUAUUGUUUUUGUUGAGCUCCUUCUCUCUGUUGCCUUUGUCUAUCUUGCCUUCUUCAUCCUUUUUGUUGACCCUGUCCAUUUCUUUGCCCUGACCCUUUUGUUGGCGUUGCCUACCUUGUUGUUCUUGCCUCUAAAGUUUCCAUGUCUACCUUGUGGUCUUUUUCGUCUUUAUAGUCCUUUUUCCACCUACUUCAUGUCUCCAUUGUUUUUCUUGGAUGCUGUAUCUUGUUUUUAUCAGCGUUGCCAGAUGGGAAUAUAUAGAAUUAUUGUACCAGAGACUCUAAAUUAUCAUAUUUUGGAAAAAUUAUCAUAUCGGUUAUAAUCAAAAUAACAAUCUUACUGUUGCAUGAUAGCUACUUUAUAGUCAGUCUGUUUAGUUCUACAGGCACUCACAAUUUUGUGGCUAAAGUUUUGUGGUCAUUCACCGCCCCGCCCCACAUCUCUUCAGCUCCCGUUCAUCACCAUCCUCUUCAGGGGUGUUCACACUUACACUACAAUUGGAUUGAAACAUCAAGUGGAGGUAAAAUUAUUGUACAAAUACUCCAAUUAUCAUACAACUGGCAACCCUGGUUGUCUACCUUGUUGUCCUUAUCCUCUUCGCUAUCUUGGUAUCGGCCUACCUUCUGUUCCUCAUUUUGUCAGUCCUUGUCUACCUUGUUGUCCCUGCCUCUGAAGUUUCUAUGUCUAUGCUGUGAUUUUCGUCGUCUUUAUAGUCCUUGUCCAUUGUUUAUGCCCCUAUUCUUUUUCUUGAGUGCUGUAUCUACCUUGUUGUUCUUGUCCAUUUACUUUCUUGGAACUGGCCUACCUUAUUGUCCUCAUCAUCUGUUUAGUCCUUGUCUACCUUGCUGUCCUUGUGUUACCUGUCCGCCUCAUUGUACCUUGUAGUUCUUGUCUACUUUGCCUUACUUGUCCUAUCACUAAAACCAAAGACCCCUACAGUAGAACUUUUGCUUGUAAAACAUAGACAGAUUAAACAUUAAACAUUAAACAUAGACAGACAGAUUAAGAGAUUCGUGCUAGCUGUCAAGGUUAAAUAAAAACUGACAAACUGGACUUUCCCCUCUUUUUUCAGACUUUUCCGAGGGACAGUUUCACAUUAAUGGUUUGAGAUGGAGACCCAGCUUGUUUGGACAGAAUUACAGCCCCGGAGCAGCGGACAAGUCAAUUCAGCAAGUCAGCUCCUCUACAGCUCUACAGCAGGGCGACAGUAUUUACCCAUCAGCUAAUGGCCUACAGGUCAAGGGUGACACACUCUCACGUCUCCACUGUGCCCUUUCUCUCCGACCUCAUCUCAUGGUCAUUCGCGUAAUGCUAGACGAUCCCACUGGCAUUAACUACGCACACAAAUAUCCCUCUAUCUGUGCACACAUACACACAAAGAGACACUGGAUUGUAUGCAAGCGGGCACAUAGACACGCAAAUGGAGGACACACAUUUUGUUGUAUGAAGCAUACACACACACACACACUCCUUAUACAUCCACACACAGUCAGUGCAUCCUCCUCAUAUAUGCAUGAUAGGGAGAUGAAGCUGAAAGGUCAAUUCCAUUAGACGAUCGCCUUUUAAUGUCACAGUGCCUGGAAAGAGCAACUGCGACCUCCCCGUCUCAGCAUCACAUCACAGUGUAAUCACACGGCAGCAGCCCGUCCCACAGACCCAGGAGAACCUGCUUAUUGGCAUCGGGACAGAGUGAUGAUACGGUGUAUGCUGGACAAAAAUGCUCUUUUCUUAUCCCUAACACUCUAUGGAGGAAAAAAAAAAACGUGUGUAUAUUUUGCGAUUUAUGCUGCAUUGCAACCCUACGAUCAGCACGUGGAGGAUAGUAGCCUCUACACAUGGAGCUACUGCUCUGCUAGCUAAGCUAAACCAGCACCCCAGCAAUAAAUUUUACUUACAACGUUGAAAUGAAAGAGGGGAGUUGCUCCCAGAAUGAAGCCAAAUAUAAUUAUUCAUGCAUGUAAUUGAUUGUUUUGAUGAAAAUGGUCAUGACUGAAAGGUAGGGAUGUUGUUGCCAAUGGUCGCCAACCUCCCACUGUCUCAUCAUUCUUUCUCAUAGCAACGUGUUCAUUUGUCGCUUAUCAUUUGCCAUUUUUUCCGUGUACUCCUGUGGCUCAAGUGUACAUUCAGGUACUUUCAUGAGAUAAAUGAUUGAUUUUUUAGGCCAGAAGCGCUAUUGUCGGGCAUAGUUGGGCCACAGUGGGCACUGGUUCCAGC